CCAAGUCAAGUCUCAAGUCCCUGAGGUGGAGUCCAAGUCAAGUCUCAAGUCUGUGAGGUGGAGUCCAAGUCCCGAAGGUGGAGUCCAAGUCAAGUCUCAAGUCUCUGAGGUGGAGUCCAAGUCAAGUCUCAAGUCCCUGAGGUGGAGUCCAAGUCAAGUCUCAAGUCUGUGAGGUGGAGUCCAAGUCCUGGAGGUGGAGUCCAAAUCAAGUCUCAAGUCCCUGAGGUGGAGGUCAAGUCAAGUCUCAAGACUGUGAGGUGGAGGCCAAGUCAAGUCUCAAGACUGUGAGGUGGAGUCCAAGUCAAGUCUCAAGUCUGUGAGGUGGAGUCCAAGUCAAGUUCUGGCUGAAGAACAGCAGACCUAAAGCACGAUUCUGCCACCACCAUGCUUCACUGUGGGUAUGGUGUUCUUUUUUGUGAUGGUGAUGUGCUUUUUUGUGUGCCAAACAUACCUUUGUGAACGAUUAUACCUUUUUGGAAGUGGUCUCAUCAGACCAUGAAACAUUUCGCCACAUGAUCUGUGGUGAUUUAGUUGAGCUGGGAUGUUCUUUGUGCGAAAGUGUUUCCCUCUAACCGCCCUACCCCACAGCCCACACAUGUGACGAAUACGAGAGAUUGUUGUCACAUGCAGAGCGUAAUCAGUACUUAUCAGAUGUUCCUGCAGCUCCUUUAAUGUUGCUGUAGGUCUCUCAGCAGCCUCUCUGGAAUGUUUUCUUUCUUCUCCUUCUGUAAAUCUUGGCGGGACGUCCCGUUCUUGGUGAUGUCACUGUAGUGCCCCAUUUUUUCACUUGUUGAUAUGAUGGCCUUCACGGUGUUCCAUGGUACAUCUAAUGUUCAGGAAAUCCCCCUCUCCUGAUUGAUACCUUCCAACAAGUGAGAUACCGUGCAUGCUUUGUAAGCUCUUUGUGGUCCAUGGCUUCAGCAGUCAGAAGAAUCCAAGAAGACGUGAAGACAAUCCUACAGAAGCAGCUGGUCUUUAUUUGGAGUUCAUCAGAAUAAUUGCAUUGAUGACAGCUGUAUGAUAAUUACUUUUGAACAUGAGAUCGAAUGUGAUUGGUACAUUUUGAACACAGCCACGCCCCCAAUUAUAAAAGGGUGUGCACAGGUAUACACUCAGGUUACUAUAACUUUUAUUUUCUUUCCUAUUUCUCCCUAAAAUGUUUCUGAUUGUUUUUACACUUAAUGUUUAUACGCUGUAACUUCAUACUGAGGGUGUUAAAAGUUCGGACAUGAUUUAUCUCGGUUUAAGGUUUUUCAGCACAAAAUCCUGCCGCUUCAACAGGGGUGUGUAGACUUUUCAUAUCCGCUGUAUUUGAACAAUAAAAUAAUAAUACGGCUGACAAAAAGAC
Long non-coding RNA from Ictalurus punctatus (channel catfish), 1348 nucleotides. The record is from Ensembl. NCBI's taxonomy places the organism in Eukaryota, Metazoa, Chordata, Actinopteri, Siluriformes, Ictaluridae.